This 1503-nucleotide ribosomal RNA is filed under the name uncultured prokaryote. Its description in RNAcentral is "partial 16S ribosomal RNA". It matches the Rfam family "Bacterial small subunit ribosomal RNA". The record is from RNAcentral.
AGAGUUUGAUCCUGGCUCAGAACGUACGCUGGCGGCGUGCUUAACACAUGCAAGUCGAACGCGAAAGUUUCUCUUCGGAGAGGCGAGUAGAGUGGCAGACGGGUGAGUAACACGUGGGUAACCUACCCCUAGGCGGGGGAUAACAACUCGAAAGGGUUGCUAACUAAUACCGCAUAAGACCACGGAUCUUCGGAUUAGUAGUUAAAGUCUUCGGACACCAAGGGAGGGGCCCGCGGUUGAUUAGCUUGUUGGUGGGGUAAUGGCCUACCAAGGCAACGAUCAAUAGCUGGUCUGAGAGGAUGAUCAGCCACACUGGUACUUAGACACGGACCAGACUCCUACGGGAGGCAGCAGUGGGGAAUAUUGCGCAAUGGACGAAAGUCUGACGCAGCAACGCCGCGUGGGUGAAGAAGGUUUUCGGAUCGUAAAACCCUGUCAGGUGGGAAGAAACGCCCCUUUUAAGGGGAACUGACGGUACCACCAAAGGAAGCACCGGCUAACUCCGUGCCAGCAGCCGCGGUAAUACGGAGGGUGCAAGCGUAGUUCGGAAUCACUGGGCGUAAAGGGCGCGUAGGCGGACCUGUGGGUCUGAUGUGAAAGCCCGGGGCUCAACCCCGGAAGUGCAUUGGAAACUACAGGUCUUGAGUUUGGGAGAGGAGAGCAGAAUUCCCGGUGUAGGGGUGGAAUCCGUAGAUAUCGGGAGGAAAACCAGUGGCGAAGGCGGCUCUCUGGAACAUAACUGACGCUAAGGCGCGAAAGCGUGGGGAGCAAACAGGAUUAGAGACCCUGGUAGUCCACGCCGUAAACGAUGGAUACUAGGUGUAGGGUUCAUUAAUGAACUCUGUGCCGAAGCUAACGCGAUAAGUAUCCCGCCUGGGGAGUACGGUCGCAAGACUAAAACUCAAAGGAAUUGACGGGGGCCUGCACAAGCGGUGGAGUAUGUGGUUUAAUUCGACACAACGCGCAGAACCUUACCUGGGUUUGACAUCCCUUGAUCACCAUAGAGAUAUGGUUUCCUCUUCGGAGGCAAGGUGACAGGUGCUGCAUGGCUGUCGUCAGCUCGUGUCGUGAGAUGUUGGGUUAAGUCCCGCAACGAGCGCAACCCCUGUCCUAUGUUGCCAUCACGUAAUGGUGGGCACUCUUAGGAGACUGCCGGUGUCAAACCGGAGGAAGGUGGGGAUGACGUCAAGUCCUCAUGGCCCUUAUGCCCAGGGCUACACACGUACUACAAUGGCCGGUACAAAGAGGCGCUAACCCGCGAGGGCACGCAAAUCUCAAAAAGCCGGUCUCAGUUCGGAUUGGAGUCUGCAACUCGACUCCAUGAAGGCGGAAUCGCUAGUAAUCGCGGAUCAGCAUGCCGCGGUGAAUCCGUUCCCGGGCCUUGUACACACCGCCCGUCACACCAUGAGAGUCGCUUGUACCAGAAGUGCGUAGGCCAACCCUUUGGGGAGGCAGCGUACCAAGGUAUGAGUGGUGAUUGGGGUGAAGUCGUACAGGUUAACC